UACCUGCAGCCCAAGUGGUGGCCGCUAUUAUUGGGCCUAAAACGUCCGUAGCCGGUUCUAUAAAUGCCUGGGUAAAUCGUACGGCUUAACCGUACGAAUUCCGGGUAGACUGUUCAACUUGGGACCGGGAGAGGCUAGAGGUACUCCUGGGGUAGAGGUGAAAUUCUGUAAUCCUAGGGGGACCACCAGUGGCGAAGGCGUCUAGCUAGAACGGGUCUGACGGUGAGGGACGAAGCCCUGGGGCGCAAAC
This 250-nucleotide ribosomal RNA is filed under the name uncultured archaeon. RNAcentral's name for it is "partial 16S ribosomal RNA". It matches the Rfam family "Archaeal small subunit ribosomal RNA", at positions 474 to 724 of the family's 1478-position model. The record is from RNAcentral.